RNAcentral lists this transfer RNA (77 nucleotides) under Candidatus Hermodarchaeota archaeon. RNAcentral describes it as "tRNA-Trp". It matches the Rfam family "tRNA". From Rfam's summary of the family: Transfer RNA (tRNA) molecules are approximately 80 nucleotides in length. Their secondary structure includes four short double-helical elements and three loops (D, anti-codon, and T loops). Lineage: Archaea; Promethearchaeati; Candidatus Hermodarchaeota. The record is from RNAcentral.
GGGGUCUUGGCCUAACCAGGUAUGGCAACAGGCUCCAGACCUGUAGAUUGAGGGUUCAAAUCCCUCAGACCCCACCA